AAGUCGUAACAAGGUUUCCGUAGGUGAACCUGCGGAAGGAUCAUUAACACUUUUCUUUACUAUCAAUACCUUUGUGCACUGACGACCCUUUUUUUACGGGGGCCGACUAGGGAAUGGUUGAAUGCGCCCUAGCCUGCUGCAGAAGUCAGCCCGUCAAUCGGACUAUCAUUAUGAUUCAAUCGUAGUGAUCUGAUCGAACGACGACCGGUCUGACGCUCCGUACUGGAAGGUGAUACAGCCUCGACCAUGGCUGGACCCCAUUUUUUUUCUCAAACCUUUUUGAUAUUUGUACUGAUUUGGGCUAUUGGAUCGAGAGGAGUCGAAUCCUUUCUCUGGUAGCUUUUGAUAGAUCUUCGUGUCUAUUCAAUAAACCAAAACACAACUCUUAACAGCGGAUAUCUCGGUUCUC
This 409-nucleotide unclassified non-coding RNA is filed under the name fungal sp. RNAcentral describes it as "partial internal transcribed spacer region". The stretch from base 1 to 46 matches the Rfam family "Eukaryotic small subunit ribosomal RNA", at positions 1786 to 1831 of the family's 1831-position model. Lineage: Eukaryota; Fungi. The record is from RNAcentral.